RNAcentral lists this ribosomal RNA (245 nucleotides) under uncultured bacterium. RNAcentral's name for it is "partial 16S ribosomal RNA". It matches the Rfam family "Bacterial small subunit ribosomal RNA", at positions 91 to 334 of the family's 1533-position model. The record is from RNAcentral.
UAAAGUGGCGACCGGGUGAGUAACACGUGACUAACCUACCUUCAAGUGGGGGAUAACCUCGGGAAACCGGGGCUAAUACCGCAUAACAUCUUUGGGAUGGAAAUUCUGAAGAUCAAAGGAGCAAUUCGCUGGAAGAGGGGGUCGCGGCUGAUUAGCUAGUUGGCGGGGUAAUGGCCCACCAAGGCUUUGAUCGGUAGCCGGCCUGAGAGGGCGCACGGCCACACUGGAACUGAAACACGGUCCAG